UACGUAGGGUGCAAGCGUUGUCCGGAAUUAUUGGGCGUAAAGAGCUCGUAGGCGGUUUGUCGCGUCUGCUGUGAAAUCCCGAGGCUCAACCUCGGGCCUGCAGUGGGUACGGGCAGACUAGAGUGCGGUAGGGGAGAUUGGAAUUCCUGGUGUAGCGGUGGAAUGCGCAGAUAUCAGGAGGAACACCGGUGGCGAAGGCGGGUCUCUGGGCCGAUACUGACGCUGAGGAGCGAAAGCGUGGGGAGCAAACAGG
This 253-nucleotide ribosomal RNA is filed under the name uncultured bacterium. RNAcentral's name for it is "partial 16S ribosomal RNA". It matches the Rfam family "Bacterial small subunit ribosomal RNA", at positions 524 to 776 of the family's 1533-position model. The record is from RNAcentral.